CCGUGCUGAUCAGUAGUGGGAUC
RNAcentral lists this non-coding RNA (23 nucleotides) under Cricetulus griseus (Chinese hamster). Lineage: Eukaryota; Metazoa; Chordata; Mammalia; Rodentia; Cricetidae. The record is from RNAcentral.